This 522-nucleotide ribosomal RNA is filed under the name uncultured bacterium. RNAcentral's name for it is "bacterial SSU rRNA". It matches the Rfam family "Bacterial small subunit ribosomal RNA", at positions 28 to 525 of the family's 1533-position model. The record is from RNAcentral.
GGUGAACGCUGGCGGCGUGGAUUAGGCAUGCAAGUCGGACGGUAGGGCUUUAUCGUAAGAUAGAGUUUGAGAGUGGCGAACGGGUGAGUAACACGUAGCUAACCUACCCUCUGGACGGGGAUAACCUACCGAAAGGUGGGCUAAUACCCGAUGUAGUCAUCCUGUAUAGGGGUGAUGAAAGGUGGGCUUCUGUUUACAAGCUCAUGCUGGAGGAGGGGGCUGCGGCCUAUCAGGUAGUUGGUAGGGUAAUAGCCUACCAAGCCGAUGACGGGUAGCCGGCCUGAGAGGGUGACCGGCCCGAGGGGCACUGAGAUACGGGUCCCACUCCUACGGGAGGCAGCAGGCUAGAAAUUUGGGCAAUGGGGGAAACCCUGACCCAGUGACGCCGCGUGCAGGAAGGAGCCCUUCGGGGUGUAAACUGCUGUCGUGUAGGGAGAAGGGUACUAAGGUGAACAAUCUUAGUACUUGACGGUACUACAGGAGGAAGCCCAGGCUAACCUCGUGCCAGCAGCCGCGGUAAAG